GACGGGUGAGUAAUGCUUAGGAAUCUGCCUAUUAGUGGGGGACAACAUUCCGAAAGGAAUGCUAAUACCGCAUACGCCCUACGGGGGAAAGCAGGGGAUCUUCGGACCUUGCGCUAAUAGAUGAGCCUAAGUCAGAUUAGCUAGUUGGUGGGGUAAAGGCCUACCAAGGCGACGAUCUGUAGCGGGUCUGAGAGGAUGAUCCGCCACACUGGGACUGAGACACGGCCCAGACUCCUACGGGAGGCAGCAGUGGGGAAUAUUGGACAAUGGGCGGAAGCCUGAUCCAGCCAUGCCGCGUGUGUGAAGAAGGCCUUUUGGUUGUAAAGCACUUUAAGCGAGGAGGAGGCUACUGGUAUUAAUACUACCGGAUAGUGGACGUUACUCGCAGAAUAAGCACCGGCUAACUCUGUGCCAGCAGCCGCGGUAAUACAGAGGGUGCGAGCGUUAAUCGGAUUUACUGGGCGUAAAGCGUGCGUAGGCGGCUUUUUAAGUCGGAUGUGAAAUCCCUGAGCUUAACUUAGGAAUUGCAUUCGAUACUGGGAAGCUAGAGUAUGGGAGAGGAUGGUAGAAUUCCAGGUGUAGCGGUGAAAUGCGUAGAGAUCUGGAGGAAUACCGAUGGCGAAGGCAGCCAUCUGGCCUAAUACUGACGCUGAGGUACGAAAGCAUGGGGAGCAAACAGGAUUAGAUACCCUGGUAGUCCAUGCCGUAAACGAUGUCUACUAGCCGUUGGGGCCUUUGAGGCUUUAGUGGCGCAGCUAACGCGAUAAGUAGACCGCCUGGGGAGUACGGUCGCAAGACUAAAACUCAAAUGAAUUGACGGGGGCCCGCACAAGCGGUGGAGCAUGUGGUUUAAUUCGAUGCAACGCGAAGAACCUUACCUGGUCUUGACAUAGUAAGAACUUUCCAGAGAUGGAUUGGUGCCUUCGGGAACUUACAUACAGGUGCUGCAUGGCUGUCGUCA
This 961-nucleotide ribosomal RNA is filed under the name Acinetobacter sp. 26_2. RNAcentral's name for it is "bacterial SSU rRNA". It matches the Rfam family "Bacterial small subunit ribosomal RNA", at positions 100 to 1057 of the family's 1533-position model. The record is from RNAcentral. Lineage: Bacteria; Pseudomonadati; Pseudomonadota; Gammaproteobacteria; Moraxellales; Moraxellaceae.